AGGGAGGAGGCGAGCUCGUCGAAGUCGAUUGCCGUUGCAGUCGGCCUCCAUGGAGGCGAUGAGGGUGUCGAUCUCGUCCCCCGCAGCUAGCUUGGAUCCUGCGCGAGUGUGAGGUUUCCUGGAGGCGUUGUCAUCCAGAAGCGCCGAACCGGACGCGUCGUUGUUGUCCCAAAGCGAGACAGCUUGUCACGCUGUCUUCAUUCUUGAUAGCUGCAGCCCGGCUCUGGCGUUGCGUUCUUCCACCUGCAGGUCCCUCCUUCUCCCUUCCCCUUUUCUGAUUUUGUGCGAUUGCACCAUUAUAAUCUGCACCAUUUAUGUAUUUUGUGCUCCUACAUAUUGUCUGAUGUUGAUUUUCAUCAGAUUGACUUCUGGUCCAUCAACUACAUAAUCAUUGUAAGUUAUACAUGCCAAACAUAACUACGGGCAUAAUGUUAAUUUGUUUAUGUCCCUCCACUUUUUUUCCGGGCUUGUGACCGGCAUCGGCACGGAAGUGUUAGCCCCCCUACCCCCAUUAAUAUUCAGCAUACUUAAGAAAUACUCCCUCCGUUCCUAUAUAAGUCUUUGUAGAGAUUCCACUAUGAACCACAUACGGAUGUAUAUAGAUGUAUUUAGAGUGUAGAUUCACUCAUUUUGCUCCUUGUCUAAUCCAUAGUGGAAUCUCUACAAAGACUUAUUUAGGAACGGAGGAAGUAGUUGUUUUAUUUGGGCUUCACUAUAGUUUUAAUAAUUCCCAAAGAUAAACUGAGAUUUAUAAUAACUGAAUAGGAAAAUUGAUCUGGUUGCAUUAUACAUAUAAAACAUAAUGAUGCAUGGGCACUCACUAUUGGCCUGUACUGUAUAAUAAGAUUCAAAUAUCAGGUAUCACAUAAUAUAGAUUGUUGAUACUAAUUGAUAUAUUGAGCUAUUUCCAUCAAAUGUUGAUGCAUGUUUCCAAUGCUUUGAACAAACAAAUGAAACUAUCAGAAAAUGUAUUUCAUAUUUUACAUCCUACAAAGUAGGAAACUGGGAACAUAAUGAGAAGAAAAGAAUGAAUAUAGGAAGAAGCGGAAAUUAUGUUGAUACAUGCACUUAAAUGAGUCUUCCUUCUGGUUAUUUUCUUGCUUCAUUGGCAUUGCGACCGGAUGAUUAGGACUAUGCCCAAUCGUAAUGCUUGAAAAUACUGGGCUGAGUAAUAAUAUCCUUGUGAUAGCCGCUUAAGACAUCCUCAAGACGCGGCGACUUCUUUAAGCGACCGUUUGUUUACAUCAAUUUGUGAAAUAAACCUAUGAUGGUUGCCUUUCAAAUUGGGUAAUUUGAACAAUGUUAUACCAACCAGUAGUCGAAUUCCUAGUUGUGCUAAUGUGCUAACCAAGAAAAGUUAGAUUAUGUGGUGUCAAGAAAAUCAUAUGAAGCAGCAACUAUUAGGCAGUUAAUUGGUCUCACCAUUUGACACUAAAUAUCCUGCAGAGUCUGGAUGUUGCCGGGAUUAAUUGACUUGCUGCCCAGGAGCGCUGAACUUAGCUUCAUCCUACUUCUUGGCAAGGAUCGAAGGUACGGCGCACCUGCUGCUGGUACUCGCUUGUCCAGUCUGGAGAAUACAUCCUCAUGUAGGAGACACAAUGGGGUGCUCUCCGAGCAGGAAUGACCGAGGCAAGCCACUGGCACCGGGUUGCUGACUCCUGCUGCUCUCAUUCUAGUUCGAGCUACAGAUCAUGAAUCAUGAGGAAGCAAUAUACAUGUCAAGUUGUUAACUUCUCAGAGCAUGUAUAUUAGUAUGGACUGCACUAUAGACAUAUCCUACAAUAGGUUGUCUUUUCGGUUCUCUGCAUAGACUUUUGAUUGGAUGAAACAUUAAGUAUCUAUUGAUUGGCACUAAUUAUUCUGUGUUCUCUA
Aegilops tauschii subsp. strangulata is the source of this 1872-nucleotide non-coding RNA. The record is from RefSeq and is a predicted model, not a curated record. Lineage: Eukaryota; Viridiplantae; Streptophyta; Magnoliopsida; Poales; Poaceae.